RNAcentral lists this long non-coding RNA (529 nucleotides) under Delphinapterus leucas (beluga whale). RNAcentral's name for it is "lncRNA (ENSDLEG00000011221.1)". Lineage: Eukaryota; Metazoa; Chordata; Mammalia; Artiodactyla; Monodontidae. The record is from RNAcentral.
GUAAUGGAUGAAAUCCAUCCUAAUGGCUUUUGCCCUGAAGAAGCAUUUUACAAUAUUUGGCCUUCUGCCCCACUGCCAGUAGCAUAGGCUGACUGGGUUUCUAUUACCAAUAACGUCCUUCUUUUUAUGCUCCUUGUUCUGUUUUCCUUUGUGUUGCAGUAAGCAGAAUGAAGACCAAAAGACAUUCAGAAAGGAGAACAGACAAAAGAGAAGUGAUAGUGAACAAGUGCUAGAAAUACAAGACAGAAACAAGAUUUGGGAAAAGUUUGGGACAGAUGGAAUCUAUCAUUCGAUACAUUUAGAGGAAGCCUGAGAAAUGACGGUACAAUUUGAAUGUGGAAAGCAGGAAUCAAGGAAGAAAGAACAAUAGACUGACAGGAUACCAGUUCUACUCCUGGUUCUAGCAACCCAGUGUGUGACUUUGGGUAAGUCAUUUCACUUCUUGGAACCUUGGUUCCCUUAUAUAUAAAAUGAAUAAUUUAGUCUAGAUGAUUUACUACUUUUCUUCCAGCUUAAAAAAAAAACCUUA